UACAGAGGUCCCAAGCGUUGUUCGGAUUCACUGGGCGUAAAGCGCGCGUAGGCGGACCUGCAAGUCGGGGGUGAAAGCCCGAGGCUCAACCUCGGAACUGCCUUCGAUACUGCGGGUCUCGAGUCCGGGAGAGGUGAGUGGAAUUCCUAGUGUAGAGGUGAAAUUCGUAGAUAUUAGGAAGAACACCAGUGGCGAAGGCGGCUCACUGGCCCGGUACUGACGCUGAGGCGCGAAAGCGUGGGGAGCAAACAGG
This 253-nucleotide ribosomal RNA is filed under the name uncultured bacterium. Its description in RNAcentral is "partial 16S ribosomal RNA". It matches the Rfam family "Bacterial small subunit ribosomal RNA", at positions 524 to 776 of the family's 1533-position model. The record is from RNAcentral.